Long non-coding RNA from Varanus komodoensis (Komodo dragon), 446 nucleotides. RefSeq lists it as uncharacterized. The transcript has 3 exons. The record is from RefSeq and is a predicted model, not a curated record. NCBI's taxonomy places the organism in Eukaryota, Metazoa, Chordata, Lepidosauria, Squamata, Varanidae.
GCGGCGGCCGCGGCGCCGGGCUGAACUGCGCUGCACGUGCCCCGGGAGAACGCGCGAGCGAGCGAGCAAACGAGCCAGCCAGCCAGCCAUGGAUUCCCAGGACUGUCCCUGCGCCAGCGGUGGUGCCUGCACCUGUGGCAACAACUGUCAGUGCAAAAACUGCAAGUGCAAAUCGUGUAAAAAGAGCUGCUGUUCCUGCUGUCCCGUGGGAUGCACCAAGUGUGCCCAGGGCUGCAUCUGCAAAGGGCCCCCGGCCAGCAAAUGCAGCUGCUGCAAGUAAACUGCCGGUCGCUUGGUUGAGUGCCAACCUGUAUAUUAGCCCACAAUCAUGUAACGCUCAAUGUCCAUUUAUAUGUAUUUGCCUGUGUGUUUUCCAGUCUGUAGAUGUGAGUACAAGGUACAUGGAAAGUAAUAAAGGUAUAUGUAUAUAAGUAAUACACCCCGAA